UGCAAGUCGAACGAAGUAGCAAUACUUAGUGGCAGACGGGUGAGUAACAUGUAGGUAUCUUCCCUUUGGUGAGGAAUAACACGAGGAAACUUGUGCUAAUACCUCAUAAGUCUUUACGGAGAAAGCUUUAUGCGCCAAAGGAUGAGCCUGCACUUGAUUAGUUUGUUGGUGGGGUAAUGGCCUACCAAGACUUUGAUCUAUAGCUGAUCUGAGAGGAUGAUCAGCCACAUUGGGACUGAGACACGGCCCAAACUCCUACGGGAGGCAGCAGUAGGGAAUAUUGCACAAUGGAGGAAACUCUGAUGCAGCGAUGCCGCGUGAGUGAAGAAGGCCUUUGGGUUGUAAAGCUCUUUCGUCGGGGAAGAAAAUGACUGUACCCGAAUAAGAAGGUCCGG
This 395-nucleotide ribosomal RNA is filed under the name uncultured bacterium. Its description in RNAcentral is "bacterial SSU rRNA". It matches the Rfam family "Bacterial small subunit ribosomal RNA", at positions 56 to 496 of the family's 1533-position model. The record is from RNAcentral.